GUGUGCUAGGUGGGGAGUUAGCGGUGCCUUGUAACCCGCAAUCCGCUAUAGCGGGACUGAAUUCCUGCAGGAGAAUGUUGAUUUCCAUUUUAAGCGUAAUAAGCGGUGUUGAGAGUCAAGCCCGACGCAAUUGUAAACUGUGAACUUUGUCAGGUCCGGAAGGAAGCAGCAAUAAGCAGAUCUUGCGAUGUGCCGUCGGCCUACUUGAUUUGAGCUGGCUGUUAUAUCUUUCUAUGGAAUAGAUAUCGAAUGCAGGUGCACAC
This 263-nucleotide signal recognition particle RNA is filed under the name Candidatus Cloacimonadota bacterium. RNAcentral's name for it is "Candidatus Cloacimonetes bacterium signal recognition particle sRNA large type". It matches the Rfam family "Bacterial large signal recognition particle RNA". Rfam says of the family: The signal recognition particle (SRP) is a universally conserved ribonucleoprotein involved in the co-translational targeting of proteins to membranes. Archaeal SRP consists of a 7S RNA and homologues of the eukaryotic SRP19 and SRP54 proteins. In most bacteria, the SRP consists of a 4.5S RNA and the Ffh protein (a homologue of the eukaryotic SRP54 protein). Lineage: Bacteria; Pseudomonadati; Candidatus Cloacimonadota. The record is from RNAcentral.